UUGAAUGUUGAAUGUUUGAAUUUUACCAAAAUGAAGCUCGUUUAACCGCAUGUUUAUUCCUUACAUAAUACAUAUUAAACGCAAAGCAUGUAGGGGUUCUACAUGCAUAUAGUAUUUGCACAAUCAAUAACCUAUUCGAGUAAUACAUUGUCGUAUAUAAACUUGAUUUUGUGUUUGUGUCUGCAGUGUCCAAAGCCCAGGCUGACCCCCCACACCUUCAACCUUUGCAGCAAUGCUGGCAGCACUAUUUCCCAAAGACAACCUCUGGAUAUGACGCUGAGCACGUGCAAUCAACUUCUUCUUUGGUCGACCAUGGCGAGGCCUGUUCUGAGUGGAACCUGUCCUGUUAAACCGCUGUAUGGUCUUGGCCACCGUGCUGCAGCUCAGUGUCAGGGUCUUGUGCCCAAAGCCCGUGGUGGUGGCAGUGCAUGGCGUUUGUGUGGAAGCAGGAGUGGAUCUAAUCACAGUCUGUGAUAUUCGUCUGUGCACACAGGAUGCCUGGUUUCAGGUGAAGUCGUGUGUUCCCUGAUAGUCCAUGAUUGCUGGAGCUCUGGAAAUAGCAGGUGAGAUUGCAGGCCGGAGUCGCGUCGCUGUCCAAGGAACCAAAAUCAACCUCCUCUACUCCUGAGACCACAGUGUGACUGAGAGCCUAGACUACAUGGCUACUUGGAACAUGAACAUGUUGCAGACACAGGAUCUUAUGAAGUCAGCGCGGGCAGCCCUGGAAAAGAAGAGUCCGAAAGACGUGCCCUUCUCCAAGCUUUAAAGGAGAAGAUCCAGGGCUGUUGAAGCUGCGGUGGAACUGAGACAUCAUCAUCCACAUAUCUUCAGUUCUUCUUGCUAAGUCUGUUUCUUUUUAGUCUUUUUAUUUUUAGACUGGUCAAAAGACUGAUUAGUGGAAGUGAAAUGAUAGAUGAACUUUUAAUUAUUUGCUUUAUUAUUUGCAGGUGCCUUGUACAGUAAGACAGGGUAACUAAUACUCAAAAGCUUGUUUUGUGUGUUAACAUAUACAGUAGAUGGACAUAUUUUUUCUGGUGCUGUGACUGCAGAAUGUAGUGCAGUUAACACAGUAAAUUUCCUUGGAUGCUCACUUUUAACUCGAGGAGGUCACAGUUUGCCCAGACAUCGUUUUUUAAAUCCGUCAAUCCGUCACCCACACGUCAUUCUGGGGGACGAAGAGGAGGAAGCUGGACAGAUAAAUUUAUUUAUUUAUUUAUCAUUGCUGUGUUUCCUCAAUCGAGUGCAGAAAGAAGAAAAACAACACAACUGAUUUAAAAUAAAAAUAUAGAAAACAAUCUAAUGUAAGGUUCUGAUCCGGUUUGCUUUCAGCAGGAAGGCUGUCCUCUUUCCUGUUGCUCUUUCUCUUCUAUUAGUCCAUUUGUCCAGUCUGAAUCGGUUUUGAUUCGUUUCGAGACGAUUCGGAGUCGAAUAAUUUUCUAGUGAGAGUCGCACACUUCCAAACGAACUAGACUGAGAUGAGUAUUUGA
Molecule: long non-coding RNA, 1487 nt
Organism: Ictalurus punctatus (channel catfish)
Lineage: Eukaryota; Metazoa; Chordata; Actinopteri; Siluriformes; Ictaluridae
Exons: 5
Source: RefSeq, a predicted model, not a curated record